This 358-nucleotide signal recognition particle RNA is filed under the name Peromyscus maniculatus bairdii (prairie deer mouse). Its description in RNAcentral is "Metazoan signal recognition particle RNA (ENSPEMG00000002027.2)". It matches the Rfam family "Metazoan signal recognition particle RNA". Rfam says of the family: The signal recognition particle (SRP) is a universally conserved ribonucleoprotein. It is involved in the co-translational targeting of proteins to membranes. The eukaryotic SRP consists of a 300-nucleotide 7S RNA and six proteins: SRPs 72, 68, 54, 19, 14, and 9. Lineage: Eukaryota; Metazoa; Chordata; Mammalia; Rodentia; Cricetidae. The record is from RNAcentral.
GCGCGGUGGCGCACGCCUGUAGUCCCAGCUACUCGGGAGGCUGAGACAGGAGGAUCACUUGAGUCCAGGAGUUCUAGGCUGUAGUGCGCUAUGCCGAUCGGGUGUCCGCACUAAGUUCGGCAUCAGUAUGGGGACCUCCUAGGAGCGGGGGACCACCAUUUUUUGAAUAGCCACUGCACUCCAGCCUGGGCAACAUAGCGAGACCCCGUCUCUAGGACCACCAGGUUGCCUAAGGAGGGGUGAACCGGCCCAGGUCGGAAACGGAGCAGGUCAAAACUCCCGUGCUGAUCAAUAGUGGGAUCGCGCCUGUGAAUAGCCACCGAGCCUGGCUAGCUCAUUCAGUAGAGCAUGGGACUCU